GCCUACGGCCAUACCAGCCUGGGUACGCCCGAUCUUGUCUGAUCUCGGAAGCUAAGCAGGGUCGGGCCUGGUUAGUACUUGGAUGGGAGACAGCCUGGGAAUACCAGGUGCUGUAAGCA
Molecule: ribosomal RNA, 119 nt
Filed under: Salmo salar (Atlantic salmon)
Lineage: Eukaryota; Metazoa; Chordata; Actinopteri; Salmoniformes; Salmonidae
Source: RNAcentral